UAAGUAGUUGUUUUUGGGUUCUGCCAUAUGUGAACGGUUGGUCUGUGCUGUAACUGUUAAGUUUGUAUGUAUUCUUUGAAUGUGUUGUUUGUAUGUAUAUGUUUUUUUUUUUCUCAGGUUGAAGUUCAUUGUUAACGGUGCACUUUCUGAUUUAAGAUUGAUGUACUGUUCAUGAACUAAGAGCAAAUCUGUUGUGGCACCAAAAGGUACACACACCUCUCAUUGUGUGUACCAGUGGUGUUGAACAGGACAAAAUUGCAUUAUAAAAACAUGUAUCUCCUCCUGUGUGCCAGAACUAAUUAUGUUUUUUCUCUCCGAGGUUUGUUCCUGUAUAUAACGUUUCAGCCCCAGGCUCC
Long non-coding RNA from Sphaeramia orbicularis (orbiculate cardinalfish), 356 nucleotides. RefSeq lists it as uncharacterized. NCBI's taxonomy places the organism in Eukaryota, Metazoa, Chordata, Actinopteri, Kurtiformes, Apogonidae. The record is from RefSeq and is a predicted model, not a curated record. The transcript is spliced from 3 exons.